This 71-nucleotide transfer RNA is filed under the name Pseudecheneis sulcata (sucker throat catfish). Its description in RNAcentral is "tRNA-Cys". It matches the Rfam family "tRNA". Rfam says of the family: Transfer RNA (tRNA) molecules are approximately 80 nucleotides in length. Their secondary structure includes four short double-helical elements and three loops (D, anti-codon, and T loops). Further hydrogen bonds mediate the characteristic L-shaped molecular structure. tRNAs have two regions of fundamental functional importance: the anti-codon, which is responsible for specific mRNA codon recognition, and the 3' end, to which the tRNAs corresponding amino acid is attached (by aminoacyl-tRNA synthetases). tRNAs cope with the degeneracy of the genetic code in two manners: having more than one tRNA (with a specific anti-codon) for a particular amino acid; and 'wobble' base-pairing, i.e. permitting non-standard base-pairing at the 3rd anti-codon position. Lineage: Eukaryota; Metazoa; Chordata; Actinopteri; Siluriformes; Sisoridae. The record is from RNAcentral.
AGCCCCGUGGUGUAUUUAAAACAUCUCGGAUUGCAAAUCCGAGGCAGUAGGUUAAUAACCUACCGGGGCUU